Escherichia coli 53638 is the source of this 89-nucleotide non-coding RNA. Lineage: Bacteria; Pseudomonadati; Pseudomonadota; Gammaproteobacteria; Enterobacterales; Enterobacteriaceae. The record is from Rfam.
GGUCGGGUAGCGCGUAUACCGAAAAACAGCCGAAAGGCUAAGGAUACGGGCCGACUUGCUGCGGUGUUCAAGUACCCGACCGCCCUGCU